RNAcentral lists this ribosomal RNA (433 nucleotides) under uncultured bacterium. RNAcentral's name for it is "partial 16S ribosomal RNA". It matches the Rfam family "Bacterial small subunit ribosomal RNA", at positions 29 to 507 of the family's 1533-position model. The record is from RNAcentral.
AACGAACGCUGGCGGCAUGCCUAACACAUGCAAGUCGAACGAAGCCUUCGGGCUUAGUGGCGCACGGGUGCGUAACGCGUGGGAAUCUGCCCCUUGCUUCGGAAUAACAGUUAGAAAUGACUGCUAAUACCGGAUGAAGUCUUCGGACCAAAGAUUUAUCGGCAAGGGAUGAGCCCGCGUAGGAUUAGGUAGUUGGUGGGGUAAAGGCCUACCAAGCCGACGAUCCUUAGCUGGUCUGAGAGGAUGAUCAGCCACACUGGGACUGAGACACGGCCCAGACUCCUACGGGAAGCAGCAGUGGGGAAUAUUGGACAAUGGACGCAAGUCUGAUCCAGCAAUGCCGCGUGAGUGAUGAAGGCCUUAGGGUUGUAAAGCUCUUUUACCAGGGAUGAUAAUGACAGUACCUGGAGAAUAAGCUCCGGCUAACUCCGUG